Molecule: non-coding RNA, 7532 nt
Organism: Sus scrofa (pig)
Lineage: Eukaryota; Metazoa; Chordata; Mammalia; Artiodactyla; Suidae
Source: RefSeq, a predicted model, not a curated record
GAGAGGACAAGAUGGCGGAGGAGUAGGGGGACACGCUCGCCCUCUCCCACAAACACAACAAAAAAAAAACACAUCUACAGAAGAAAUGACUCGCACAGAACAACAACCAAUCGCUGGCAGAGGAACCUAAACUCCAAUAACGGCAAGAAAUUCGUGACAUUAUUGGGCAGAACGGGAGAAAAGAGGAGAGUGAGAGAAGGUGAAUCCGAGCGGGACCGGCGCUCCCGAAAGGGAACUGCGGAGGAGAAAGGGAUCCCGCACCCUGGAAAGUCUCCUACCGGGGAAAGAUCAAACCAACCGGAGGAAUCUCCAGAUGCAGAGAAGAGUGUAGCAGUAAGUCGGAGUACGGAAAAACGAUCAAGAACCCAACGGACCAUCUGAACUACGGGCACAGUCACCAAAAAUUGAGACGCCUGGGUGGGGGCUGGGCACCGAAUCCUCGGCUCCAGAGACAGAUUCCCAGGAGGAGUGUAACACCUGCUGAUUUGACGCUUUUCCGUCUAGCCAUUCCAUGGCAUGGAACAAAAAUGACAAAUAUGGGUGAGUGUUCCCAGCUGAAGGAGGAUUGCCAGAUUUACAACAAACAAACAAAUGAAAAGCAGGACCUCGCAAUUACAUUUGAAUUUCAGGUGAAGAAUGAUCAUUUUUCAGGAUAUAUAUGUCCUAAACAUUACAUGUUUCUUGAGAAUCAAAUGAGCCUUCCCUGGGUAGCAUUCCCCAGCUGGCUUACCCCUGGAGGCUUUGCCUACUUUGAAAUAUCUCUCUUCAGAGUUCCUGUCAUGGCUCAGCGGAAGUGAGUCCGACUAGCAUCAAUAAGGACACAGGUUCGAUCCCUGGCCUCGCUCAGUGGGUUAAGGAUCGGCUGCGGUCUAGGUCUAAGACAAGGCUUGGAUCCCACAUUGCUGUGGCUGUGGCAUUGGCCAGCAGCUACAGCUCUGAUUAGGCCCCUAGCCUGGGAACCUCCAUAUGCAGCAGUGUGGCCCUAAAAAGAUAAGAAAAAAAAAAAAGAGAAAAAUCUCUAUCCUUCAAUAGUAAGUGCUCUGUCUUUGCUGCAUCCACACUUUUGUCUUUUUGGACAUUAAGGGCUAAGAGACGGAAGUAGGUCCCCAGGUUGCAAGCCUAGAAAAAGGUAUAAGUGGAAGCUUGAAAUGAAGCAUAAAUGGGUAAGACAUUAGCUGUUCCCCAUCCCUUUCCCUAGUUGCUCUUUAUAUCUUUUGCCCCAGAAAUGCAGGUCUCGGCGUCAGAGUUAUCUGCUUAAGUCUCCAAAUGUGUCACCGUGAAUUCGGAGUGAAAGUUCCAAUGGUCGUUCCUUUGCUGGUGUGCAAGCAAGUCCUCUAUCACUUUUUUCUCUUCCGGAGGUACCAGCACUGUCCCACAAGAUAGCUUGUGCUGGGGCAAUUGUUGUCUUGGUAGGGGAGAGGCUCAUUCCUGGUGCUUCCUCCUCCACCAUCUUCUUGGAAUUCUCUGGCUCCUCUGUUUUGUUUGAUUCUCAAGAACUCAGCGGAGCUGGAGCGAGCUAAGCUUCCAGGUGCUAGAGUAGCUGAAGAUGACAAGCCCAAACAAAAGAAACAGUCAAUCAAGCCUUUGAACAUGUGUGGUGGUGGUAAUGUAAGCAGGAAGCUAAGCUGGGGAAAGUGCCGACUCUUUUGCUUUAUUUUUCCCCCGGAAAGGCAAGCUGGUAGAGGGGCAGGGGGUGCAUAUCUUCCUACUGAGGAAGCCCAGAACAAAGCCUCCUGCCCUCUAAUGGGGUUGCGGGGGGGGGGGGGGAGGAAGAGAAGGGGAGGGACUAGGAGUGGACAAGUGUUGAGUGUGGACUCAGAGUAGAGAGAAAUGGACAAAAGAUGGUAAAUCUUUAUUUUUGUUAAUAAAUCCAAAAAUAAUUCGUAGCCCUUCUUGGCUGGAAGAGUCAUCAAAACUAGGUUUUGUGUUGAAUAAAAGGAGGAGAAAAAGCAGGACUAUUUAUCAGUAAAAGAUCAGGAAGGAAAAAAAAAUACAAUGAAUAAGAAUAGGAAUUCUUGUUGUGGCUCAGCAGAUUAAGAACCCGAUAUAUUGUCUAUGAGGAUGUGGGUUCGAUCCCUGGCCUCACUCAGUGGGUAGGAUCCAGCGUUUCUGUGACCUAUGGUGUAGGUCAGCAGCUACAGCUCUGAUUUGUGACCCCUAGCCUUGGAACCUCCAUGUGCUGUGGGUAUAGCCUUAAAAAGGCAAAGAAACAAACAAACAAAAAAGACAGAGGAGUAGUAUUUAAAGUAACUCUUUAGAAAGAUAAACACCAAUAAGUACCAAAAAUAUCACUUUUAUGUUUAACAUGACACAAGUGAACUUAUCUAUGAAACAGAAACAGACUCAGAGACAUAAGGGAACAGACUUGUGGUUGCCAAGGGGGUGGGAGAGGGAAGGGAUGGAGUGGGAGUUUGUGAUUAGCAGAUGCACACUAUUAUAUAUACAACAAGGUCCUACUGUAUAGUACAGGGAACUAUAUUCAGUAUCUUGUGAUAAACCAUAAUGAAAAAGAAUAUGAAAAAUAGUAUAUACAUGUAUGACUGAAUCACUCUCCUAAACGGAAGAAAUUAACACAUGGUAAAUCAACUAUAUUUUGAUAAAAUAAAUUAAAAACCCUACCAUAUAGAUAAAAAAUAAAGUAACUCUUUAGUCUUGCCAUUUGAGUCAAACUAUGAUUUAAAAAAAGCCAAUAGGCUUCCAAUAGUUCACAUGAAUUAGUCUGUAACCGCUUCCUCAUUCGUGAUUCUAUUUGUGGUCAGUAAAGUCAUGGUGCCUCAUUAAUACGCUUUUUUGUUUAUUUGUUUUUUAAAAGCACAAAGGAUUCAUGAUAGUCAACAUCCGGAUACAUGAAGCAGAGCGCAAACUGCUAUUUCACUUUUAACAACCAUAUUUUUAGUAUUCAAAGAAUUCAGUGAGGAUAUAGGUUUCUUAAUAACUUAAGAGGGAAGAAACAUAGAAAAAAGGCAAAGGGAAACUCCAGUCCACGUGCAAGUGGUUUAUUUCUUUUAUCCUGAUGUUUUGGAUUCUAUCCAUGUUCAUCCAGGCCUGUGCUUAAUCUGGAUUUAGUUCCAUGGCUGCUUUAUGGGUCUAGUUGAAUGAGAAAUAUCUUCAGGGUAGGAAAUAAGAAUCUAUCUUUAACACUACUAGGUUGUGGAAACCACUCUCUACAUAUACAAAAACUUCAAUGAUUAAUACAAUAAUUACCACUAUUAUUUUCUAUUGUUUAAAUACUAGAAAACCAGUCAUUAUUAUUUUGCAAAAUGCCGCACACAAGCACAAGGUGUUGAUUCUAAAGUGAAGGAAACUGAAAUAUAUGAUUUCCCAGCAGAGGGACUCUUGUGGACUUGAAGAGGUUGAAGAGACCUGCAGGGAAUCCAGUUUUCUCCAGAUAUACGCCCAGGAGUGGGAUUACCGGAUCAUAUGGAGAAUUAGAAGAAGAAUGACAAACCAAGCCCAAAGUCAGCAGAGGAAGGAAAUAAAUAAAUAUCAGAGAGAAAAUAAAAUAGAGAUAAAAAAUUAAAAAAAAACAAUAAAACCAAGUAUUGGUUUUUUGAAAAGAUAAACAAAAUUGAUAAACCUUUUCCUGGGCUCACCAAAAAAUGGACCCAAAUAAACAAAAUAAGAAAUGAAAGAGGAAGAAUAACGACUGAUACCAAAAACAUACAAAAAAUAAGAUAAUACUUAAAUAGUUAUACGCCAAAAAAUUGGACAACAUAGAAGAAAUGGACAAGUUUCUAGAAACAGAGCCUGUCAAGAGAGAAUCAAGAAGAAAUAGACAAUUUGAACAGACCAAUCACUAGAAGUGAAAUUGAAUCUGUAAUAAGUAGCUGCCAGCAAACAUAAGUCUAACACUGGAUGGCUUCACUGGGGAAUUCUACCAAACAUAUAAAGAAGAGAUUAUUCAUAUCCUUCUCAAACUACUUCAAAAAACUGAAGAGAGGGGAACACUCCCAAAUUCAUUCUGUGAGGCCACAAUUACCUUAAUACCAAAACCAGACAAAGAUGCUAUAAAAAAGAAAAUCACAGACCAGUCUCUUUGAUGAAUACAGAUACAAAAAUCCUCAACGAAAUAUUAGCAAACAGAAUCCAACAGUACAUAACAAGGAUCAAGUUGAAUUCAUUCCAGGGUUACAAGGAUAGUUCAACAUACACAAAUCCAUCAAUGUGAUACAUCACAUUAACUUAAGGAAAGACAAAAACCACACAAUCAUCUAAGUAGACACAGAAAAAGCAUUUGACAAAAUUCAAUAUCCAGUCAUAACAAAAACUCUCCUCAAAGUUGAUAUAGAGGGAACAUAUUGCAACAUAAUAAAGGCCAUUUACAACAAACCCACAGACUAGAUAAUACUUUAUGGUGAAAAGCUGAAAGACUUCUUGCUAAAUUCACUAACAAGACAAGGAUGCUCACUCUCACCAAUUCUCUUUAAGAAGGUAUUUAAAUCAUAGUCACAUCAAUCAAACAAGAAAAAGAAACAUAUCAAAAUUGAAAGAGAAACAGUAAAAUUGUCACUAUUUGCAUAUGAUAUAUACUCUAUAUAAAGAUCCCUAAAGUCUCCACCCAAAAACUAUUAAAAUAAAUGAAGCCAGGAAGAUUUCAGGAUACAAGAUUAAUAUACAGAAAUCUGUUGCAUUUUUAUAUACUAAUAAUGAAAUAUAGAGAAAGAAAUUAAAAAAACAAUCCUGUUUAAAGUCCCAUCAAAAAAUAUCUAGGAAUGAACUUAACCAAGGAGAUUCAAAGACCCUUAUUCUGAAUGUGAUGAAACAUUGAUGAAGGAAAUUAAAGAUGAUUCAAAGAAAUGGAAAGUUAUCCUGUGCCCUGGGAUUGGAACAAUAAUUAAUUUUGUUAAAAUGGCCAUACCACCCAAAGAAAUCUACAGAUUUAAUACAAUCCCUCUCAAAACAGUCAUGGCAUUUUUAUAGAACUGUAGCAAAUAACUCUAAAAUUUAUAUGGAACCACAAAAGACCCAGAAUUGCCAAAGCAAUCCUGAGGAAAAAGAACAAAACUUGGUGCAUAACUCCUCCAUACUUCAGACUAUACUGCAAAGCUACAGUAAGCAAGAAGUUUCUGCUUAUGGUGCAGUGGGUUAAGAAUCUGAAUGCAGAAGUUCCAACUGUUGCACAGGUGCAGGUUCGAUCCCUUGCCCAGUGCAGUGGGUUGGAGGAUCCAGUGUUGCAACAGCUGUGGCUGGGGCUCUGAUUCAAUCCCUGGCACUAGAAUUUAAAAUAAAAAUUUAAAUUUAUUUUAAAGUAAAAAUUUAUGUAAAAAUAAAUUUAUAAUUUUUACAAAAAAUUAUUUAAAAACAAAAAAAAAAAUUUAAAAAAAGCUACAGCAAUCUGAACUGGAUGGUAUUGGCACAAAAACAGACUUGUGGAUCAAUGAACAGAAUAGAGAGUCCAGAAAUAAACCCACAUACCUAUGGUCAAUUAAUCUUUGACAAAGGAGGCAAGAAAUUACAAUGGAAAAAAGAUAAUCUCUUCAACAAGUGGUGUUGGGAGAGCUGGAGAGCUGCAUGUAAAACAAUGAGUUUAGAACAUUCCCUCACACCAUCUACAAAAAUAAAGUCAAAGUGAUUUAAAGACCUAAAUGUAUAACAUGAAACCAUAAAAUUCUUAAAAGAGAAUAGAGAGGGAAUGCUCUUUGACAUAAAUUGUAGCAAUAUUUCUUGAAAAAAGUCUUUUCGAAUGAAAAUAAUAGUGCUUUGAUUUUAAAAUAUAUCUACACAUAUGACUAUUAGAUGACUAAAUGAACCCUGUUUUAUUAUUUUAAGUAUAAUAACGCUUCUUGGAUUUAAUGAUCUAGACUGCUAGACUUUACCACAACAUUUAAGAUCUAAACAUGAACACAACAGAGUAAUAACCUCAUUCCAGCAGAGGAAAUUCCUCCACGUGUUAAACUUGGGUAACAAAUGUUGGAAUUUUAAUUCCUUCUAGAAGCACCUUCUAGUUGGCAUCUGAGGCCAUCCAUAGUUAUGAGAAUUAUUUUAAAAUUUCAUUCAAAAUAAGCUAUGCAAAAAGGUGGUGGUUUUCCUCUUCAGUGGGUCCUCAUUUUUACAAUGUUCAAACUGCAUGUUUUAUUGAAUAUAGUUCCUAUAAGAAGAAUAAUAUCAUAAUCUUAUUGAAUACCCUUAGGACAUCACUAAAAAUGAAGCUAAUUUGCAUUGGCAGUUAGAUUUUGUUGUAUUUUAAUACAGCUCUAAUGCAAUAAUAUUCCUUUACUAGUGACUUUUUUUAAAUACAUUUUUUUCUUAUUGACAAUUAUACACCCAAGUCUUAUGAAAUUACCUUGAGGAGUUCCAGUUGUCCAUAUGGGAAUGGUAAUUAGGUUUAUUAAUCGGCAAUAUUAUUGUAACAAGUCUCUGUGCAUUAGGUGAAUUUUAAUAAAAAUAAGGUUAGACCUUUCCUUUGCCAGAUUUUAACAAAUUCCAAAGUGAGUUAGGGUUUCUUUUGUACAGAAUCAUUAAGAGCAUCAUCCUUCCUUCUUGCUUAUACCCGAAUAGAAAAACAGCAACAUCAAGGAACUUCAAUCCUGCUUGCACGGUUUUCUUUCCUUUUAGAUCUUCUGCUUACAACAUCAACAACAGACAUAUCAGAAGCAUGUGUGGCCACUGCAAGGGUCUCACAGCUGUCCAGUCACACUUCAGUCCUCCACAGGGCAGGGUAAUAUAUCUCAAGUUUGAGCAAAAUAUUAGAGUAGAAAAUCACUCAGUUAAUUUACUAUUUUUUUUGUGCUGAAUUCGUACAUGUGAAGAGGAAAAUGGCGUCUGGGUGACCGGUAGUCUCAACUCUCUUAUCAGGAUUACAUCCUGCACAUGGCUGGUAAUCCGACAACCGGGGCACAUCAGCAAGUCUUAGAGCACUGGGUGCCACAGGGAUGGAAGGCAUCUAAGUAAACAUUUGUUCUGUGGAACAUGGUGUAAUAUUCUGAUGACAUUGGAGAGACCAGCCUUAUUCUCUGAGCAGUAGCAAGCCUUAUUUUGCAUUCCCAGAUGCAGGGUUCUUGAUGACCAGCUGAAAAUAACAAUAACUUCAUCCAGUGAGUGUGAACAAUAGUAGAAACUAUAGUUUUUAUUGUUUUAUCUGUAGAAGAUAGAUUUCACCUCGAAUAGAUACUCUUUUGAAAUUAGGUUGUGAUGAUGAUGUACAACUGUAAAUAUAAUAAAAUUCAUUAAAAAGUGAAAAACAUAAAUGAUCUUCAUUAAAAAAUUACUAGGUUAGCAGACAUUCUCUGUUCCCUUUGAGAUAUGUACUGAGUUAUGCCCUAAUCAAUACUUGAGAAAGCACUCUGCUUCUUAUGAAACCUGUGCACCUCUGCUCCCACUGAUUGAGUUGUUUGUUUGCUAAGAGUCAUUUAAUAUCUAUUCCCAAGUUUAUUCAGUUGCACUUUCUAUUGCAAUUGCAUGGUUUAGAAAAUCAUUCUACAAAUGGAUAAAACCAUUUGAUUAGUGAAAACUCAUAAAAGAGAAGUUCCCGUCGUGGCUCAGUGGUUAACGAAUCCGAUGAGGAACCAUGAGGUUGCGGGUUCGAUCCCUGG